This is a non-coding RNA of Carica papaya (papaya), 442 nucleotides long. Lineage: Eukaryota; Viridiplantae; Streptophyta; Magnoliopsida; Brassicales; Caricaceae. The record is from RefSeq and is a predicted model, not a curated record.
UUCCAUUUAUAUAGCAGUUUCAUACAGACUCUUUGAGCUGACAAAUAUAUUGAAAGUGGCAUUUGUGCCUACUAAGGACAACAAACGCCUUAUAUACAACCUCAUUACGGCAGUGGCCAUCUCAAGUCUUCUAUACUUCCUUUCUUUUGUGUUUCUUCGGAUCCCCCGUAUGCUGGGUUGAGCAGAAAUAGGCAUUGAAAUAUAUCUUCUGCCUGCUUUUCCUGUGAAUUAAUUGGCACAGAUUCUUCCACGGAAGGUUUUUCCCUGAACCACAAAUACAAAUUGGUUUGAUGAUAAGAUAUGAAAUACAGACAACACUUAAUGCCAAAUGUAGUGUAUAUGGAAUUGGUUAAAUUUGGAACACCAGGAUUUUUAUUCUUCGAUUUUUACAUGUAAAAUAAUUUAAAAUGCAAUACAAAGUUCUGCUAUUUGUUGCCCAGAA